Heteronotia binoei (common prickly gecko) is the source of this 1798-nucleotide long non-coding RNA. RefSeq lists it as uncharacterized. The record is from RefSeq and is a predicted model, not a curated record. The transcript is spliced from 4 exons. Lineage: Eukaryota; Metazoa; Chordata; Lepidosauria; Squamata; Gekkonidae.
ACAUAGAGUGGAGCAGCUUCCAGACUUCCCCCAAAUGACCCCAGCAAUGAGCUCUGCAUGAAUAUUUUGUACCUUUUUUCUUUGCUAUACAUAUAUCCCUUUAAUGAAUGGUGGUGGUAUGACACAGCUGUUGCCAAUCAAGUCAAUUUAGACUGUGAGAGUCUCAGACACUCUUUCUGAGCAAUGUGAAGAUGCCAGCCUUGUUGAAGACUCAAAGAGGAUUUCUGAAUGCAUGAAUUUACACAAUAAUUCUCAAGGGGAAAGAAUGGGAAGGGAAGAGGAAAAUAAGCCAACUCAGGAAACACAUAUGUGUGAAUAAGAAGACUGCUUUGUCUCUAGGAAAAGCUGUUUUGACCUGAGUAAACCUGCGUCAAGUUGGUGGGGAAAGAACUUUGAUAAUGUUUAUGGGUAAGGCAACAGAAGUGGAGUCCACCUAUCAGUAGGGACAGAUUUCUCAGAUCUACGAAAAGGUGCUUAUUUUAUCCUUUCAUCUGGCCUUUCUAGAGGACUGGAAGAGGACAAUUGAUAUUGCAAAAGGCUCAGCAGGAAAAUUACCGAAGACUUUCUUAAUGCCACCACUUUAUCAUCACAGCCUCACAUAGAAAAGAAAGCAGAAAAUUGGAACAUCGAGAAGAAUGGCUGACACCCAACUGUUAAAAAAGUAUCCCUUGUUGAGGGAGGAGGGAAAAUAUUAAAAGACAAGUGCCACUUUUUGUGAGCGAAAAAGCAGAACAUGAUUCAGCUGUGGCCAAGUGCAGCCAAAGAGAAUGGAGAGAUUUCUAAACAAUCUUUUAUGAGGAGUCUGUGCAGGACAAACAUUGGUUUUAAGUUAAUGGUGGGCAAGAGAACAGUGAAAUGAAGGAUGUUAGUCUCUGCUGUGCAAGCAUUUUCUCACAAAAUCUGUACCAAAAUGGUCUGAAGUUUUAAAGUCAGAUUCCAUUGAAAAAACAGCCUAAACCUGAGUAGUCCAUUAGAGUGAAUUAAGGAUGGGUCAAUGUUCCCUGUUUACAUUAAUGUUUUUGUCAAUGUCUUUUGUUCUCCACAUGUUGUUGGUUUGGCAGAAACCUUUGCAUUAUCUUCACAUGUUGUGCGCACAAACAUACUAUAUACAGUACAUAGAUUGCACAUCACUCUAUAUGAAUGCAGCUGAUGUACUGAUAUCCCAAUCAUGUUAAAAUGCAUAUAUUUUACAAAAAAGAAUUUAGUGUGAGAUAACAGAAAAUGGCACAAAAAUGAGAAAGUAGGGUACAAAUUGUGCAAGACAGAUGAAAUAAAUAUGUUGUGGGUCAAAAGAGCAGGGAUGUGAAAAUAGAUAUUAUCCUUAAAGUGGGAUAGUUUUCAUCUAAAAUAUAUUUGGAUGACUUUUUGAUUGAAAAUGUUUUUUUUAAAAAAAAUAGACAAUAUAUAACUAUCAUCACAUUCCAUAGGUUUGUCUGAUUAACAAUAGAAUGGAGUUGAAACUAUUGCUGGGAUAUCAAGAAUACCUCUGUUCUUCCCUAUGUCAGAUAGACCACCAUGCAUUUUGACUCUUUUUUAAUGAAUGAAUUUAAAAACUGAAUAAGAACAAUGAAAAUUAAGAAGGAUAAAUAAUGCUAAGAGCUUGCCAUAACUUACAUAAAACAUUGCUCCUUGUAGGAGGGAGGCUUUGUUUGGUAUGUUUUAAUUUGAUAUGAGAAAAAUAUUUCAUUUUUUAAAAACCCCACUGCCUUCUAACAUUCUGAAAUUCACAGUACAUGUUUCAUGUCUGAAUUAUCUUUUUUAUUAAACAACAACAAAAACCCAUCAUAUAAAAACUUAA